AUUGAACGCUAGCGGGAUGCUUUACACAUGCAAGUCGAACGGCAGCGCGGACUUCGGUCUGGCGGCGAGUGGCGAACGGGUGAGUAAUGUAUCGGAACGUGCCCAGUAGCGGGGGAUAACUACGCGAAAGCGUAGCUAAUACCGCAUACGCCCUACGGGGGAAAGCAGGGGAUCGUAAGACCUUGCACUAUUGGAGCGGCCGAUAUCGGAUUGCUAGUUGGUGAGGUAACGGCUCACCAAGGCGACGAUCCGUAGCUGGUUUGAGAGGACGACCAGCCACACUGGGACUGAGACACGGCCCAGACUCCUACGGGAGGCAGCAGUGGGGAAUUUUGGACAAUGGGGGCAACCCUGAUCCAGCCAUCCCGCGUGUGCGAUGAAGGCCUUCGGGUUGUAAAGCACUUUUGGCAGGAAAGAAACGUCGCGGGCUAAUACCCCGUGGAACUGACGGUACCUGCAGAAUAAGCACCGGCUAACUACGUG
RNAcentral lists this ribosomal RNA (483 nucleotides) under uncultured bacterium. RNAcentral describes it as "partial 16S ribosomal RNA". It matches the Rfam family "Bacterial small subunit ribosomal RNA", at positions 30 to 507 of the family's 1533-position model. The record is from RNAcentral.